RNAcentral lists this unclassified non-coding RNA (261 nucleotides) under Vibrio pelagius. Its description in RNAcentral is "partial miscellaneous RNA". The record is from RNAcentral. Lineage: Bacteria; Pseudomonadati; Pseudomonadota; Gammaproteobacteria; Vibrionales; Vibrionaceae.
UAGCUCUUUAACAAUUUGGAAAGCUGACUGAUUUAAAUAACAGAGUUAUUUAAAUCAAAUUAAAAGUUCUCAAUGUUUAUCUGCUCUUAUUUAUUAAGAACAGUAAACACAACACAAACACAUUCAAGUGUCUUGUAUUCGAAUCAAUGUUUACAUUGAUUCACCAUUGAGUCCGGCAAACACGUAAUAAGAAUUAACCCUUCUUGUUACAACCAAAAACCUUGGUUGUUUACCAUACAUGAAGACCUCUUCGGGUUGUAU